Molecule: ribosomal RNA, 380 nt
Filed under: uncultured cyanobacterium
Lineage: Bacteria; Bacillati; Cyanobacteriota
Description: bacterial SSU rRNA
Rfam family: Bacterial small subunit ribosomal RNA
Source: RNAcentral
CGAAAGCCUGACGGAGCAAGACCGCGUGAGGGAGGAAUGCCUUAGGGUUGUAAACCCCUUUUAUCUGGGAAGAACAAAAUGACGGUACCAAAGGAAUCAGCCUCGGCUAACUCCGUGCCAGCAGCCGCGGUAAUACGGAGGAGGCAAGCGUUAUCCGGAAUGAUUGGGCGUAAAGAGUCCGUAGGUGGUUCAUCAAGUCUGCUGUUAAAGCGUGCAGCUCAACUGCAUAUAGGCAGUGGAAACUGUUGAACUAGAGUAUGGUAGGGGUAGGGGGAAUUCCCAGUGUAGCGGUGAAAUGCGUAGAGAUUGGGAAGAACACCGGUGGCGAAAGCGCCCUACUGGGCCAUAACUGACACUGAGGGACGAAAGCUAGGGGAGCG